Molecule: ribosomal RNA, 549 nt
Filed under: Triticum aestivum (bread wheat)
Lineage: Eukaryota; Viridiplantae; Streptophyta; Magnoliopsida; Poales; Poaceae
Description: partial small subunit ribosomal RNA
Source: RNAcentral
AUGUUCCUCAGACAAAUUGCAGGAAUUGCACCUGAUGGGACAGGAACUCUAGCGAAUUGGAUGGGACACCGCACCAGCUUGGUCAUUCUUGAUCUCAGCGUAAACAACAUUACUGGACCUAUACCAAAAAUUAUAGGGCAAUUCAUAGAUCUGAAGGCUCUAUACCUCUCUGUCAACCACCUGACUGGACACCUGCCAUCUGAAAUUGGUACUCUCACUAAUUUGAGUUGUUUACAUCUUAGUCAGAAUCACUUGGAUGGUCUGGUUACAGAAGAACACUUCAAUGGUCUAAAAAGCUUAGAGCGCAUAAACUUAGCUGACAAUCAAUUGGAGAUUGUGGUGGGUUCAGAAUGGGUUCCUCCCUUUAGACUGCAAGAAGCUUAUUUUGCAUCUUGCCAGAUGGGUCCUCUAUUUCCUGCAUGGCUUAAGUGGCAAGUGGAUCUUACUUACCUUGACAUCUCAAGCGCAGGAAUAACCGGUAGGUUUCCAGAUUGGUCUCUAGUUCCUUCUCAAAGAUCACACACUUGGAUAUCUCCAAUAACCGAAUAA